GGGGAUUUAGCUCAGUGGUAGAGCGCGUGCCUAGCAAGUGCAAGGCCCUGGGUUCGGUCCCCAGCUCCG
Molecule: non-coding RNA, 69 nt
Organism: Rattus norvegicus (Norway rat)
Lineage: Eukaryota; Metazoa; Chordata; Mammalia; Rodentia; Muridae
Source: Rfam